AGGGCACCACCGGGAGUGGAGCCUGCGGCUUAAUUUGACUCAACACGGGGAAACUCACCCGGCCCGGACACCGUAAGGAUUGACAGAUUGAUAGCUUUUUCAUGAUUCGGUGGAUGGUGGUGCAUGGCCGUUCCUAGUUCGUGGAGCGAUUUGUCUGGUUUAUUCCGAUAACGAGCGAGACUCUAGCCUACUAAAUAGUUCGCACAUUGUCUCUGUGUGUGUGACUUCUUAGAGGGAUUUUCGGUGUUCAGCCGCACGAAAUUGAGCAAUAACAGGUCUGUGAUGCCCUUAGAUGUCCGGGGCUGCACGCGCGCUACACUGGCAAAAUCAGCGUGCUUGUCCUUCCCCGAAAGGGGUUGGUAAACCCUUGAAAAUUUGCCGUGAUUGGGAUUGGAAAUUGCAAUUAUUUUCCAUGAACGAGGAAUUCCAAGUAAGUGCGAGUCAUCAGCUCGCGUUGAUUACGUCCCUGCCCUUUGUACACACCGCCCGUCGCUGCCCGGGACUGAGCCAUUUCGAGAA
RNAcentral lists this ribosomal RNA (519 nucleotides) under uncultured eukaryote. Its description in RNAcentral is "SSU rRNA". It matches the Rfam family "Eukaryotic small subunit ribosomal RNA", at positions 1161 to 1705 of the family's 1831-position model. The record is from RNAcentral.